GACGAACGCUGGCGGCGUGCCUAAUACAUGCAAGUAGAACGCACAGUUUAUACCGUAGCUUGCUACACCAUAGACUGUGAGUUGCGAACGGGUGAGUAACGCGUAGGUAACCUGCCUGGUAGCGGGGGAUAACUAUUGGAAACGAUAGCUAAUACCGCAUAAUAUUAAUUAUUGCAUGAUAAUUAAUUGAAAGGUGCAAUUGCACCACUACCAGAUGGACCUGCGUUGUAUUAGCUAGUAGGCGAGGUAACGGCUCACCUAGGCGACGAUACAUAGCCGACCUGAGAGGGUGAUCGGCCACACUGGGACUGAGACACGGCCCAGACCCCUACGGGAGGCAGCAGUAGGGAAUCUUCGGCAAUGGACGAAAGUCUGACCGAGCAACGCCGCGUGGGUGAAGAAGGUUUUCGGAUCGUAAAGCUCUGUUGUAAGAGAAGAACGGGUGUGAGAGUGGAAAGUUCACACUGUGACGGUAUCUUACCAGAAAGAGACGGCUAACUACGUG
RNAcentral lists this ribosomal RNA (505 nucleotides) under uncultured bacterium. RNAcentral describes it as "partial 16S ribosomal RNA". It matches the Rfam family "Bacterial small subunit ribosomal RNA", at positions 28 to 507 of the family's 1533-position model. The record is from RNAcentral.